UUCCCCUAGUAACUGCGAGUGAAGCGGGAAAAGCUCAAAUUUAAAAUCUGGUGGUCUUUGGCCAUCCGAGUUGUAAUCUAGAGAAGUGUUAUCCGCGCUGGACCGUGUACAAGUCCCCUGGAAUGGGGCGUCAUAGAGGGUGAGAAUCCCGUCUUUGACACGGACUACCAGGGCUUUGUGAUGCACUCUCAAAGAGUCGAGUUGUUUGGGAAUGCAGCUCAAAAUGGGGUGGUA
RNAcentral lists this ribosomal RNA (234 nucleotides) under Pleurotus eryngii. RNAcentral describes it as "partial large subunit ribosomal RNA". It matches the Rfam family "Eukaryotic large subunit ribosomal RNA", at positions 75 to 301 of the family's 3401-position model. The record is from RNAcentral. Lineage: Eukaryota; Fungi; Basidiomycota; Agaricomycetes; Agaricales; Pleurotaceae.